CAGCAGCCACGGGAAUACGUAGGGGGCGAGCGUUAUUCGGAAUUAUUGGGCGUAAAGCGCUCGUAGGCGGGAGGGCACGUCCGUCGCUGAAAUCCCCCGGCUCAACCGGGGAACGGGCGCGGAUACGACUCUUCUGGAGGAACGUAGGGGGACCUGGAACUUCCGGUGGAGCGGUGAAAUGCGUUGAGAUCGGAAGGAACGCCCGUGGCGAAAGCGAGGUCCUGGACGUUUACUGACGCUGAGACGCGAAAGCCAGGGGAGCGAACGGGAUUAGAUACCCCUGUAGUCCCUGUCUCUUAUA
This 301-nucleotide ribosomal RNA is filed under the name uncultured bacterium. RNAcentral describes it as "partial 16S ribosomal RNA". It matches the Rfam family "Bacterial small subunit ribosomal RNA", at positions 509 to 807 of the family's 1533-position model. The record is from RNAcentral.